RNAcentral lists this ribosomal RNA (381 nucleotides) under uncultured archaeon. Its description in RNAcentral is "bacterial SSU rRNA". It matches the Rfam family "Archaeal small subunit ribosomal RNA", at positions 473 to 853 of the family's 1478-position model. The record is from RNAcentral.
AUACCGGCGGCUCGAGUGGUGGCCACUUUUAUUGGGCUUAAAGCGUUCGUAGCUGGGUUGUUAAGUCUCUUGGGAAAUCUGGCAGCUUAACUGUCAGGCGUCUAAGAGAUACUGGCAAUCUAGGAACCGGGAGAGGUGAGGGGUACUUCGGGGGUAGGAGUGAAAUCCUGUAAUCCUCGAGGGACCACCUGUGGCGAAGGCGCCUCACCUGAACGGCUUCGACAGUGAGGGACGAAAGCUGGGGGAGCAAACCGGAUUAGAUACCCGGGUAGUCCCAGCCGUAAACGAUGCGCGGUAGGUGUGUCGAUGACCACGAGUCAUCGAGGUGCCGAAGGGAAACCGUGAAACGCGCCGCCUGGGAAGUACGGUCGCAAGGCUGAA